UCCAGAUUUCUUGCUGCUGUAGUUACAGACCAAAAGGACAGUGAAGAGAAAGGUAUGGCAUUGCCAUAUUCAACAGCAUGAUCUUUAAAAUGUUUGAGUAUGAAAUAUUCUCAUAAUUUUUAUAAAUAGAUAUUUUUUCCAUCAACCAAACUAGACAGUUAAAUGAGUAAAUUUGACCUGUGGCUUUCUAUGAAUUUCCCUGCCGCUUCUGUGUGUCAAGCUGAGGGUAGUUUCAGACUUACAUGAGUUCCUAAGUCCCAUAACUUUCUUCCUCUGAAGUGUGUUGGCUCAAGAAAGCCUCUUGUCCUUCUACAUGUUUGCUCACAGGGACUGAAGGAUUGUUUUUGUGUCCAUCUUAAACAUAUUUACCUGAUGUUUUUCCAAGUCCUUGACUCUCUUCAUGUUUAUCCAGCACGAAUCUUUGGAUAUAUUGCUGAGAACAGGUCAUUCCAAGGAUGACAUCGUAAAGCGCCGUUUACUUCACCAACAUCAGACAACUGUCAGCUCCAAGGACUCACUGACGGCUUUUAGCACGCCAGGACGCAGUCGACAGCUGCGCAGAGACCGGUGCAGGCGCGAACUUCAUCUGCUGCUAUCUUUAUCACCUAAGCGGUGGCGUCUCCCAUUGAGCCCUCCAAUGACAGCCUGUUCAGGCUGAGGCUGCCUGCUAAGGCAAAACAUCCAGCGUCAUCAAGCUCCAGAACUACUGAAGUGGCCCAGUCGGUGGUUGUGUUCCUGGCAGUGCCAACCAAUCUGAUUUUAUGAUUUCUCCCAAUA
This 777-nucleotide long non-coding RNA is filed under the name Equus caballus (horse). RNAcentral's name for it is "lncRNA (ENSECAG00000053089.1)". Lineage: Eukaryota; Metazoa; Chordata; Mammalia; Perissodactyla; Equidae. The record is from RNAcentral.